GGGGAUUUAGCUCAGUGGCAUAAGCACCUGCCUUGGAAGCAGGCUAUCGUGAGUUCGAUCCCUG
Non-coding RNA from Cavia porcellus (domestic guinea pig), 64 nucleotides. The record is from Rfam. Lineage: Eukaryota; Metazoa; Chordata; Mammalia; Rodentia; Caviidae.